Molecule: non-coding RNA, 642 nt
Organism: Camellia sinensis
Lineage: Eukaryota; Viridiplantae; Streptophyta; Magnoliopsida; Ericales; Theaceae
Source: RefSeq, a predicted model, not a curated record
UAUGAAUUAUGAUAUUCUUCAUGUCGAAAAUGGGUUUGAUUUUCGUUUUAUGGGUUUGACAUAGAAGAAAUUUAUAAGAUUCAAACCCAUAUUCAAUGACCAAUCUCUAAAUUUAUAAGAUUUAAGCAAAAUGGAAUAUUGGUUUUAAUGAUAGCAAUCUGAUGUAGUGAUCAUAUGCUAUUGAUCUCCCUUCUUGAAUUGUAAUUUUCUUGUAAUUUCUGAGUUUAUUUUAUUAUUGUAUCAAUCUUAUUUGCUAUAUUAUCUUCAGUAAUUUUCCUUUAGGAAAGGUUUGAUUAUUCUGUGCCUCUUCUAAGUUCCCAAGGGGAGCCACAGUAGUGGAGAACAUUGUAGAGAUGGACAUUGACAACAACUCCAAGUUCCAACUACACCACCAACACCAACCACCCAAGCAACACAAAUACUGUAGCAUGUCAAUGACUUUCAGAUACCAUAUUUAAGCACAAACUUGAAGGCCAUUCAGAUUAUUAAGAAGCCUGGAGGAUCACUAAAGGAUUCAUUUUUAGAUGAGGGGCAGAUGCAUGGUAUUGAACGUCUCGCAAUGAAGCUAAUACAGGAGUUGAAGUCCAUGAAGGACAUUGUAGAAGGAAAUCUGCCCUCUAAAGCGACUCCUACUACAUUGUU